UUCCUAUUUUGCCCUACGCGACUUCCCUCUUCUCUUUUCUAUUUCAUACGACCGACCCCUCUUCCCUCCCAACACACUCCGAUUACCUGCAAUCUUUUGCCGCCAUAGGCUCCACCUCCGUCAGCCGCUGCCAUCGNAAGCCCAAUGUUUCUUAAUUCUUAUCAGCGCCAACAAAAGUCCAAAAAGAAAGCUGAAAGCGCGACAGCGGGAGGAAUCAGAGGAAAGCGGAAUGGGGAACGACUGUGCUGAGAGCGAGACUGCUACAGAUGCCGACUUCCAAGGCGCAAUUAAGAUCGGCUAUGGAAUCGAAACGUUUCUCCGGAUUCUAAGUUAAUCAAUCGCUGCAACGGUCGUAAUAAUAAUCAGGUUCUUAUAUUUCUUCUUCGAUUUCAAUUGAAUGAUUAGAAUCGAUGAUCGAUCUGUUAUUUAUUCCCCAAUUCUCACUUUUCUAAUUUCCAAUUUGGCGAUUCAGUGCUUCUUCUCCUUCGCUUCUUUCUCGGUAAUCACGAAUCACGAUUUCUACCGAUCAUUUUUCGAUUUUGAAGUUCAAUUGUGAGACUGUGAGUCUGUGACAGAUUCACGGACUUGUGACCAUUGACUGAGUCGUGAGUCCUCAGUCCUCACAGACGAAGUUCAUUUUUCGAUUUUGAAGUUCGAUUUUGAAGUUCAUUUUUCGAUUUUGAAGUCCAAUUUUAUCUGUAAGUUCUAUUGUUCUAAUUUCUAGCAUUCAAAUUUCUUAUUUAUCUAUGAUUUUCUAAUUUUUUAUGAAUCUAAUAUUCAUAAUUUUAUGCUAUGUAGAAUCUGAGGAUUGAGAAUCAGCAGCUUACCACUUCCAGUUGCUGCUUAGAGGUUAUUUAAAAGCUCACAGCAUCAACAGUUUACCAACAUUAGCAGUCAACAGUAGGUACAAACAACACGAACUCUAAUCUUCUAUUAUUUGUUAUCUGUGUCAUUGUGUGCUUGUUGUUUGUUUGCAUCAUUGCCUCUUAUCACUCUAUUGAAUAUGCAUCCUAGAAAGUAUAUGUCUGGAAGUGAAAAAAGAAAGAAAAAACAAAAAAUUGAACAAGAUAAUAAAACUCAAAAUGGGUCUAUGCACAGGUUUUAAAAAAAAAAUAGUUCUGCUGAUGUACAAGUAAAUGAACAAGAUAAUCUCACACAUGAAACUAUUUUUAAUGAGCAAGAUAAUGUUAUGAAUGAAAAUUUUUCUCAAGAAAAAGUUUCAAAUGAAAAUGUUGAUUUUGAUGAUGAAAAGAUUAAUAAUGAAGAUGUUAAUGUCAAUAAUGAAAAUGUUAACAUUUCAAAUGAGAAUGAGAAUGAAAAUGUCAUGAAUGAUAACAAUGAACAAUUUAUUCCACCUUUAGAUAUAUAUGAUCCUAGUAAUUGGGAUAAUCUUGAUAAUAACUUAAGAGAUAUUUUGAUUGAAAAAGGGCCAAUAAGAGAAUCAAAUUUUGUGUAUCCUAAAGAUAAUCUAUCUACAUUUUUCUUAUGCUUCUUAUACUAGAAAGUUAAGUAAUGGUGACACAAUAGAUCGAAAAUGGUUAAUUUACUCAAAAAAAGUUGAUAAAGUGUUUUGUUUUUGUUGUAAAUUGUUUAAACCUAAUAAUUAUGUUAAUAAAAUUUCUUUAGCAAAUGAUGGAUUUAAUGAUUGGAAACAUCUUUUUGAUAGACUUAAAGAACAUGAAAAUAGUUCCCAACAUCUUUUUUGUAUGGAUUCUUGGGAUGAACUAAUAGCAAGAUUUGAUAAGAAUAAAACAAUUGAUAAAGAUUUGCAAAAUAGUUUUAACUGAAAAAGAACGUUGGAGACAAGUUUUAAAAAGAAUAAUUGCUGUCAUUAAAUAUUUGGCAAAAUAUAAUUUGGCUUUUCGAGGUUGUAACGAAAAACUUUUUCAAGAAUCUAAUGGUAAUUUUUUGGGAGCAAUUCAAAUGAUGGCAGAAUUUGAUGUUAUAAUGCAAGAACAUGUUAGACACNGGUGCCGCCUUCUUUUUUUUAUUAAAAAAAAACAUUAUGAGGGCCCCGAAUUUUGCUUUGGCCCCGGGCCCCAAAUUGUCUAGGACCGACCCUGUUUGUUACCAUCUGAAAAGAAAAAGAGGCGUGUCUUCCAAUUUUGCCCUACGCGACUACCCUCUUCUCUUUUCUAUUUCAUACGACCGACCCCUCUUCCCUCCCAACACACUCCGAUUACCUGCAAUCUUUUGCCGCCAUAGGCUCCACCUCCGUCAGCCGCUGCCAUCGCUGCCCUUCGGAUCUCCGGCGCCACCCUCCCAUACCUUCGGUGCCAGCCUCCCAAGCAUACGUCGCCACUGUCGCACAUCAGAGGUCGGCUUCACGUAUGUAUCGUUUUUUAUUUUUUCCUUUUUUCU
Molecule: long non-coding RNA, 2361 nt
Filed under: Lactuca sativa (garden lettuce)
Lineage: Eukaryota; Viridiplantae; Streptophyta; Magnoliopsida; Asterales; Asteraceae
Description: long non-coding RNA (LSAT_LNC009184)
Source: RNAcentral